RNAcentral lists this long non-coding RNA (328 nucleotides) under Mytilus galloprovincialis (Mediterranean mussel). The record is from RNAcentral. Lineage: Eukaryota; Metazoa; Mollusca; Bivalvia; Mytilida; Mytilidae.
GCACUUUGUAUUCUAGUAAUAUAUGCACAGAAAAUCUCACAUUUUCUUGAAUUCUUAUGUUCUCUUCACAAUAUUUCAUAUCAAAAUAUAUCAUUGCACCCAUUUAGAUAUUGUGAACCUGAAUAUUGAUUCUUGGUUAGAACUUAGAUGGGGUUUCCCAUAGCAAUCAAAGGGUUUUCAAUGUGUUUCAGAUUGGGCACCAUUCUCUACUUGGCAAAUUACACAGGAAAAGUUCCUAUAAAAAAUCAAAAGUCAGCAGAUACUUUGAUAGGCAAUGAAGUGGUUUACCUCCUUUCUUUUUCAAAGGAUUUGAAUAGUAAAACAGGAC